CCAAUAUAAAUCAGCCCAAAUACAGACGAUAUCGUUUUGCCUUUUCCACUCUUCCACCUCACCAUCCUAGUUGCCGAUUCUGCAAAUCACCGUUUUUUUUUUUUGGGUUAUUAUGAUCUACUUUUAAUAAUUCAAUCCAGUUCUUUGCUCCUAUCUUGAUGAGCCAUGCUAUCCUUCCACCUCCCUUUUAUUUAUCCUCCUCUUAAAUAAAUCCUUUUGUAGAUGAGCCUGCUAUGUUCUUUACGCCGCUUGCGAUUUUAGUUCUUUUUGUACCAGUUGAAGCCAUUGCCUCAAAUCCAGACGGAUCAAAUUAAUUUUCGUCAUGAAUCAAUGCUGUCUUCCACUCCUUCCAGAGUUAAGACUUAUCCUCACAGCAGGUUUCCGCCGGGUGACUGAGCUGUGUGUCCUGCGAAGCUAUCCACGGUCAGGUCCAGUUUCGAGCGGAUACUUUUGAAAAGUCUAGAGAUUGAUUUCAGAUUUUCAAUCAAACAAGGUGAUCUCUCCCUCGCCCACUGAGUUUACAGCUUUCAGACAAUUAUAAAACAUUUUAUUAACUUCCCUUUUUUUUGGUACCUUUGAUCAUUUACGGCCACAAGAAAAGAAACGAGAAAGAGCAUUCUUUCUCUUCGACGUUGCGCUCAUGCUUCAUCUAAGGCUUUAGGAGCUUCUUCCACAUUUUCUUCUGCCUUCCAUAAUGGUAAGGCAUCCCAUUGCUUAAGACAUUGAUUUGAUUCAGGUAACAAAAAAUGUAUGGAAAAUCAAGAUUAUUUCACUUUCUGAGGAUGUGGCAAAGGUUUAUAGGAUCAACAUUAUCAUGCUGUUGUAGUAAUCGUUUAGUAAAUGUGGUGUAUAUUGUAUAAAGUUUCGAUGUGAUGUUGAGACAAUU
Molecule: long non-coding RNA, 886 nt
Organism: Brassica oleracea var. oleracea
Lineage: Eukaryota; Viridiplantae; Streptophyta; Magnoliopsida; Brassicales; Brassicaceae
Exons: 2
Source: RefSeq, a predicted model, not a curated record